AUGAUACCUUCCUCCGUUCGACCAUCCCUCCCCACCGAACAACACCACCGUGAACCAUCCGAGAAACCCUCAUCCUGCCCUCUUCUCUUAUCAGUACCUCAAAGAAUAUCAGACAUUUGCAAUACUGCUCGCUACUGGACAAAAAGUUUUGCCAAGACAUCAUCUCAUAAGCGCAACUUGCAAUCUCGGAAUCUCCGUGAAGUAGCACAGCCGCGGACACACCGUUCGUCAGACCUUCCUCCGUGUGAACAUAGUUAUGGAUCGUAG
Vicia faba (fava bean) is the source of this 267-nucleotide non-coding RNA. The record is from the annotation of a GenBank genome assembly. Lineage: Eukaryota; Viridiplantae; Streptophyta; Magnoliopsida; Fabales; Fabaceae.